AGUAAAAUCUCAGAUUUUGAAUCUGUUAAGCAAAAGCUUGAGUAUUCCUUAUGUGAUCAAUUAAUUAUGUAGUCAAAAUAAAUAUGUAUUAUUGACUUGCAAUCUUUUAUACUUUAUUCGCCCCGUAAAUUCCAUAUCUGUGCCCGACCCUAUGCAGCAUCGCUCUUUGUAUCAUCAGGCAAUAAAGUCUUUUUUAAACAAGAAUUUCAGAUUGAGAAAAGAGAACUGAGAAUCGCAUCGAAGGUACCCGAGAUUCUUACUGCUGGUUCCAAACUAGAAAAUAUCAUUUUUGAAAUUGUCAACUGUGAGGGUAUUGUGGAUGAUACUAUCCACGAUGAAGAGAAAACUGGUCUGUCACAUAUGCUAACAAUAAAGGCUGAUUGGCUUAAUUUGGGAGAGUCUGUCUGGUUCAUGUCAAACCUGCUAUACCAAAUCCAAAAGUGGAGCAUGAUGGAAAAAAGUUCUCCACGGUCAUUGAAAAUAAUAAAAAGGUACAAGCAUACAACUACUAAUUGUCACUUUUACAUUACUUUUCAAAGAAUAUGCAGUUUUUAUCUUGGCACGGA
This is a long non-coding RNA of Humulus lupulus (European hop), 566 nucleotides long. RefSeq lists it as uncharacterized. The record is from RefSeq and is a predicted model, not a curated record. Lineage: Eukaryota; Viridiplantae; Streptophyta; Magnoliopsida; Rosales; Cannabaceae. The transcript is spliced from 3 exons.